This 3359-nucleotide small RNA is filed under the name Pan troglodytes (chimpanzee). RNAcentral's name for it is "retained intron". The record is from RNAcentral. Lineage: Eukaryota; Metazoa; Chordata; Mammalia; Primates; Hominidae.
GUUUUUAAACUGUUACAUAUUUUCUGGUGCAUUGAACUUUUGUACUGAUAUGAAGUGACUUUUUUCUAGUAAUGUCUUUAAAAGUAUAAUUUAUCUGAUAUUGAUAAUUAUAUUUAAAAAAUCUGUACAUGUUAAAAGCUGUUGUACCAGCUAGCUAGCUUCCUUCCUUCCUGCCUUCCUUCCUUCCUUUCCCUCCCUCCCUUCCUCCUUCCUUCUUCCCUCCCUCCCUUUCCUUUCCUUUCUUUUUUUUUUUUUUGAGAUGGAUUUUUUGUAUUAAUGAUAGGAAUUGUUACUGCAAGUUUGUAUGCUGGUAAGGAUGGUUCUUUAGGUGAGAAGAAUUGAUAUAGGGGACUAGGGGACAGUGCAAGAACAGAGAGGGAAAUGGAAUCCAGUACACAAGUAGAGAGGCUACCCAUAGAGAGGAACAUGGACAGCUCAUUCAUAGUAGUAGGAGGUUCAGGGUCAAGUGCAAGUGGAUUGGUAGAGGUAGUAAUGGGACAAUGUUUCUAUUUUCUCAAAGAAACAAUGUCAUUUGCUGACAGUAGGGAGGGAGGAAAGUGAAGGAGGCUUGAAAAGUGAGGAAUGUUGAACAUAGUGUUAUUGUUUCUAGAUAUGUUUACAUUCUGUUAAGAGGUGGAGUAAUCUAGUUAAAGUAAAAUUUUGAAAACUUCCUUAUAAUUAUGUUGAACUAAAAUAGUUUAAAAAUAUAUAACAAAAAUUAGUUAUAAAGGAUUCAUAAGUAGAAAUUCCAUCCCCUGAAUGUUUUGUAAAUGAAUUUUAUAAAGUUAUAAAAAUACUGACUCUUGAAAGAUUAUUUGGAAAACAGGAAGAAACACCUCCUUUCCAAAUCAUCUAUAUUCCUACUACCCAGGCAUAACCCCUACUCUUAGGUCCCUCCCAUUUUUUUUCUUUUUAAUGCCAAGUUGUUUUUUUUUAAAAAAUUUAUUUAUUUAUUUAUAUUUUUUAUUAUACUUUAAGUUUUAGAGUACAUGUGCACAACGUGCAGGUUUGUUACAUAUGUAUACUUGUGCCAUGUUGGUGUGCUGCACCCAUUAACUCAUCAUUUAACAUUAGGUAUAUCUCCUAAUGCUAUCCCUCCCCGCUUCCCCCACCCCACAACAGGCCCCGGUGUGUGAUGUUCCCCUUCCUUGUUUGUUGUUAAAAAGAACAGUUAUAGUCAUGCUUCAUAUGCAAUUUGUCAUUCUAUGCUUAUCAGCUAGCCCUAUAAAUAUUUUUCCAUGUUAUUACAUACUUUUUAUAACCAUCAAAUAGUUGGGUCAUUAUUUGCUGAAUAAAUACCCUAUUGUUGGACAUUUAGGUUAACAAUUUUUAGUUGUUCCAUAUAAUCAUUUUGAAUAAAUGUUCCUAAGAAACUCAUUGUAUACAAACCUUUCAUUACUUGAUAAGCUGUGUCAUAUUUUUGAAUCAGAUAACUUAGAAAAUAAUUCUGGCUUGACUUUUUAUUGUGACUUCAUAGUCACACUGUGUUAAAGUAGAUUCUCUUUCCUAAUUUUACUAAUUAUAUGUUAGGUUUAAAGUCAAUGCAAGGAGGUGGGUGAGGUGGUGCACUCCUUUAGUCCCAGCUACUUGGGAGGCUGAGGCAGGAGAAUUGCUUGAGCCCAGGAGUUCUUGGCCAGCCUGGACAUCAUAGCAAGACCCCCAUCUCUGAAAACAAAAAACAAAAACACCAAAAACUGUUAAAAUUGGUACAAGGAAACAAUGUGUGUCCUGGAAGUAUUGAUGUAACUUUAAUAGUACAAUGAUAAUUUUAUACCAAAUUUUAGAGUAUAUAUUCAAAGUAAGAAACAUUAAUAUUUUUAAUAGGUUGAUCCAAGGAUUAGUUUUGGAUCAUGGUGCCCGUCAUCCAGAUAUGAAGAAGCGAGUAGAAGAUGCAUUUAUCCUUAUUUGCAACGUUUCACUGGAAUAUGAAGAAACGUAUGUGUUACUUUCUCUUUAUAACUUUUGACAUUUUUUUUCUAAAGGUGUUUUAAAAUCUCUUUUUCCUUCCAGAUGUUUGGUGUAGACUACUUCUAUCUUUUUUCCUUUUUCCUCCUGCCUUUACUAGCUGGUUUUUAUUAAUCUUUUAGAGAGGUGAACUCUGGUUUCUUUUAUAAGACUGCAGAAGAGAAAGAGAAAUUGGUAAAAGCUGAAAGAAAAUUUAUUGAAGAUAGAGUACAAAAAAUAAUAGACCUGAAGGACAAAGUUUGUGCUCAGUCAAAUAAAGGAUUUGUCGUCAUCAAUCAAAAGGGAAUUGAUCCAUUUUCCUUAGAUUCUCUUGCAAAACAUGGAAUAGUAGCUCUUCGCAGAGCAAAAAGAAGAAAUAUGGAAAGACUCUCUCUUGCUUGUGGUGGAAUGGCCAUGAAUUCUUUUGAAGAUCUCACCGUAGAUUGCUUGGGACAUGCUGGUCUUGUGUAUGAGUAUACAUUAGUGAGUAUUUCUAUGAACAGUGGUUAUAAAGUGAAUACUAAGCCCCCUUUUUUAAAGAAAAAUACUACUUGACCUUUUAUUUCAUGUUUUGUGUUUUGAGAUCUAAUUCACAGAACAGAUUUUACAGUUUAUUUACCUAAAUGUUUGUUAAGAGUUCAGAUAUAACUUAACUCCCUUAGUUAUGCUUGAUAAGAAAAAUUCAAAUGAAGAUUGUAUUCUAGUAUAAAUUGUUGAUUUUAUAAUGACUUCAAAUAUUAAAGUUAUAUAUUUUUGUGCCACCCUUUAGGGUGAAGAAAAGUUCACUUUUAUUGAGGAGUGUGUUAACCCUUGCUCUGUUACCUUGUUGGUUAAAGGACCAAAUAAGCAUACUCUCACACAAGUCAAGGAUGCCAUAAGAGAUGGACUUCAUGCUAUCAAAAAUGCCAUUGAAGAUGGUUGUAUGGUUCCUGGAGCUGGUGCAAUUGAAGUGGCAAUGGCUGAAGCUCUUGUUACAUAUAAGAACAGUAUAAAAGGAAGAGCUCGUCUUGGAGUCCAAGCUUUUGCUGAUGCCUUACUCAUUAUUCCCAAGGUUCUUGCUCAGAAUGCUGGUUAUGACCCACAGGAAACAUUAGUAAAAGUUCAGGCUGAGCAUGUCGAGUCAAAACAACUUGUGGGCGUAGAUUUGAAUACAGGUGAGCCAAUGGUAGCAGCAGAUGCAGGAGUUUGGGAUAAUUAUUGUGUAAAAAAACAACUUCUUCACUCUUGCACAGUGAUUGCCACCAACAUUCUCCUGGUUGAUGAAAUUAUGCGAGCUGGGAUGUCUUCUCUCAAAUGAUGAUUGAAUUCAAAAUCAACCCUUCUAGAAGAUGAAAUUUAGUACACUUUACAUCUGACUACUAUUGUGUAGCCUGAGCCAUUCUGAAUUUCUACACAAUAAAUGCAGUUUAUGUCUU